Non-coding RNA from Peromyscus maniculatus bairdii (prairie deer mouse), 489 nucleotides. The record is from RefSeq and is a predicted model, not a curated record. NCBI's taxonomy places the organism in Eukaryota, Metazoa, Chordata, Mammalia, Rodentia, Cricetidae.
CUUUUAUCAAAAUACUGGGACUGCCCGCUAAGCUGCAUAAAGUCCUUCUUCGCAUGAGGAAAGACAACAUCAUUCCAGUCUCUACCCAUCCCUGACAAAGACCUCAAGACAUAACACGCAGCCCCUAACUGGCAAGGCUGGGAUGAUUCUAGACACGGCUGUGAAGACAUGAGACCCAAACACAACGGUUGACACCCAUGUAAAAAGUGCUGAGUGGAGCUUCUACCGAAGAACUGUGUUUGAACUCCAAACUAGAAGGAAGUUCACGCUUGUUCCUGGAAUGGUGAGGCACGGGUUCCCAGCACAACAGCCUCUCUGGAGAGGAAGCGCAACUGUCACCACGCCUCUGCUUCCUGGUCAAGCAAAGAAGAGCUCCUGAGACUCAGCAAAAUGUUAUCUUUAAAACGCACAAGAAAAGGGCUGGAGAGAUGGCUCGGAGGUUAAGAGCACUGGCUGCUCUUCCAGAGGUAGGUCCUGAGUUCAAUUCCC